ACUAAUUGCUUUACAUAUUUUGGGGCUCCCUGAUUGGGAGCAUAGAUAUUAAUAAGUGUUAAGCUAAGCAGGGUCAGGCCUGGUUAGUACUUGGAUGGGAGACCACAUAGGAGGACCAGGUGCUAUAGGCA
This is a ribosomal RNA of Pteropus vampyrus (large flying fox), 131 nucleotides long. NCBI's taxonomy places the organism in Eukaryota, Metazoa, Chordata, Mammalia, Chiroptera, Pteropodidae. The record is from Ensembl.